RNAcentral lists this microRNA precursor (57 nucleotides) under Blattella germanica (German cockroach). RNAcentral's name for it is "Bge-Novel-15_pre stem-loop". The record is from RNAcentral. Lineage: Eukaryota; Metazoa; Arthropoda; Insecta; Blattodea; Blattellidae.
GGAUCGUUCCAGUAGGACUGUGUAGAAUUUUAUCACAUUCUUCCUAGAAUGGUCCGU